RNAcentral lists this ribosomal RNA (492 nucleotides) under uncultured bacterium. RNAcentral's name for it is "partial 16S ribosomal RNA". It matches the Rfam family "Bacterial small subunit ribosomal RNA", at positions 29 to 507 of the family's 1533-position model. The record is from RNAcentral.
AGUGAACGCUGGCGGUAGGCCUAACACAUGCAAGUCGAACGGCAGCACAGUAAGAGCUUGCUCUUACGGGUGGCGAGUGGCGGACGGGUGAGGAAUACAUCGGAAUCUACUUUUUCGUGGGGGAUAACGUAGGGAAACUUACGCUAAUACCGCAUACGACCUACGGGUGAAAGCAGGGGAUCUUCGGACCUUGCGCGAUUGAAUUAGCCGAUGUCGGAUUAGCUAGUUGGCGGGGUAAAGGCCCACCAAGGCGACGAUCCGUAGCUGGCCUGAGAGGAUGAUCGGCCACACUGGAACUGAGACACGGUCCAGACUCCUACGGGAGGCAGCAGUGGGGAAUAUUGGACAAUGGGCGCAAGCCUGAUCCAGCCAUACCGCGUGGGUGAAGAAGGCCUUCGGGUUGUAAAGCCCUUUUGUUGGGAAAGAAAAGCAGCAGGUUAAUACCCCGCUGUUCUGACGGUACCCAAAGAAUAAGCACCGGCUAACUUCGUG